UACGAAGGGGGCUAGCGUUGUUCGGAAUUACUGGGCGUAAAGCGCACGUAGGCGGACUACUAAGUCAGGGGUGAAAUCCCGGGGCUCAACCCCGGAACUGCCUUUGAUACUGAUAGUCUCGAGUCCGGAAGAGGUGAGUGGAAUUCCGAGUGUAGAGGUGAAAUUCGUAGAUAUCAAGCGGAACACCGGUGGCGAAGGCGGCCUUCUGGACAGUGACUGACGCUGAGACGCGAAAGCGUGGGGAGCAAACAGG
This 253-nucleotide ribosomal RNA is filed under the name uncultured bacterium. Its description in RNAcentral is "partial 16S ribosomal RNA". It matches the Rfam family "Bacterial small subunit ribosomal RNA", at positions 524 to 776 of the family's 1533-position model. The record is from RNAcentral.